CUGAAUAACUUCGCAGAUCGCUUCGGUCCUGUACCGGCGACUUAUCUUUCAAGUGUCUGCCUUAUCAACUUUCGAUGGUAGUUUAUGUGCCUACCAUGGUUGUAACGGGUAACGGAGAAUUAGGGUUCGACUCCGGAGAGGGAGCCUGAGAAACGGCUACCACUUCUAAGGAAGGCAGCAGGCGCGCAAAUUACCCACUUUCGGCACGAAGAGGUAGUGACGAAAAAUAACGAGAUGGUCUCAAUUGAGUACCGUCAUCGGAAUGAGAACAAUCUAAAUCCUUUAACGAGGACCUAGUGGAGGGCAAGUCUGGUGCCAGCAGCCGCGGUAAUUCCAGCUCCGCCAGUGUAUAUCUAUGCUGCUGCGGUUAAAAAG
This 375-nucleotide ribosomal RNA is filed under the name Nematoda sp. RNAcentral describes it as "SSU rRNA". It matches the Rfam family "Eukaryotic small subunit ribosomal RNA", at positions 252 to 626 of the family's 1831-position model. The record is from RNAcentral. Lineage: Eukaryota; Metazoa; Nematoda.